Molecule: ribosomal RNA, 439 nt
Filed under: uncultured bacterium
Lineage: Bacteria
Description: bacterial SSU rRNA
Rfam family: Bacterial small subunit ribosomal RNA
Source: RNAcentral
UACGGGAGGCAGCAGUGGGGAAUAUUGCACAAUGGGCGCAAGCCUGAUGCAGCCAUGCCGCGUGUAUGAAGAAGGCCUUCGGGUUGUAAAGUACUUUCAGUCGUGAGGAAGGUGUUAAGGUUAAUAACCUUAGCAAUUGACGUUAGCGACAGAAGAAGCGCCGGCUAACUCCGUGCCAGCAGCCGCGGUAAUACGGAGGGUGCGAGCGUUAAUCGGAAUUACUGGGCGUAAAGGGCACGCAGGCGGUUAAUUAAGUUGGAUGUGAAAUCCCCGGGCUUAACCUGGGAAUGGCAUUCAAGACUGGUUAGCUAGAGUCUUGUAGAGGGGGUAGAAUUCCAUGUGUAGCGGUGAAAUGCGUAGAGAUGUGGAGGAAUACCGGUGGCGAAGGCGGCCCCUGGACAAAGACUGACGCUCAUGUGCGAAAGCGUGGGGAGCAAAC